Molecule: ribosomal RNA, 496 nt
Filed under: uncultured bacterium
Lineage: Bacteria
Description: partial 16S ribosomal RNA
Rfam family: Bacterial small subunit ribosomal RNA
Source: RNAcentral
GAUGAACGCUGGCGGCGUGCCUAAUACAUGCAAGUCGAGCGAACAGAUAAGGAGCUUGCUCCUUUGACGUUAGCGGCGGACGGGUGAGUAACACGUGGGUAACCUACCUAUAAGACUGGAAUAACUCCGGGAAACCGGGGCUAAUGCCGGAUAACAUUUAGAACCGCAUGGUUCUAAAGUGAAAGAUGGUUUUGCUAUCACUUAUAGAUGGACCCGCGCCGUAUUAGCUAGUUGGUAAGGUAACGGCUUACCAAGGCAACGAUACGUAGCCGACCUGCGGGGGUGAUCGGCCACACUGGAAGUGAGACACGGUCCAGACACCUACGGAAGGCAGCAGUAGGGAAUGGUCCGCAAUGGGCGAAAGCCUGACGGAGCAGCGGCGCGUGAGUGAAGAAGGUCUUCGUAUCGUAAAACGCUGUUAUUAGGGAAGAACAAAUGUGUAAGUAACUGUGCACGUCUGGACGGAACCGAUACAGAAAGCCACGGCAAACUACGU